RNAcentral lists this ribosomal RNA (492 nucleotides) under uncultured bacterium. Its description in RNAcentral is "bacterial SSU rRNA". It matches the Rfam family "Bacterial small subunit ribosomal RNA", at positions 29 to 502 of the family's 1533-position model. The record is from RNAcentral.
AUUAAACGCUGGCGGCAUGCCUUACACAUGCAAGUCGAACGGCAGCACGGGGGCAACCCUGGUGGCGAGUGGCGGACGGGUGAGUAAUGCAUCGGAACGUGCCCUGAAGUGGGGGGAUAACGCAGCGAAAGCUACGCUAAUACCGCAUAUUCUGUGAGCAGGAAAGCAGGGGAUCGCAAGACCUUGCGCUUUGGGAGCGGCCGAUGUCGGAUUAGCUAGUUGGUGGGGUAAAGGCCUACCAAGGCGACGAUCCGUAGCGGGUCUGAGAGGAUGAUCCGCCACACUGGGACUGAGACACGGCCCAGACUCCUACGGGAGGCAGCAGUGGGGAAUUUUGGACAAUGGGCGGAAGCCUGAUCCAGCCAUGCCGCGUGAGUGAAGAAGGCCUUCGGGUUGGUUAAAGACGUCUUUCGGUCGGGGAAGGAAAUUAGCUUGGGUUAAGUACCCUCGAGUAGAUGACGGUACCGAACGUAAGAAGACACCGGCGUAACU